RNAcentral lists this ribosomal RNA (254 nucleotides) under uncultured bacterium. RNAcentral describes it as "partial 16S ribosomal RNA". It matches the Rfam family "Bacterial small subunit ribosomal RNA", at positions 524 to 776 of the family's 1533-position model. The record is from RNAcentral.
UACGGGGGGAGCAAGCGUUGUUCGGAUUUACUGGGCGUAAAGGGCGCGUAGGCGGUCAGCACAAGUCAGUUGUGAAAUCUCCGGGCUUAACUCGGAAAGGUCAACUGAUACUGUGCGACUAGAGUGCAGAAGGGGCAACUGGAAUUCCCGGUGUAGUGGUGAAAUGCGUAGAUAUCGGGAGGAAUACCAGUGGCGAAGGCGGGUUGCUGGGCCGACACUGACGCUGAUGCGCGAAAGCCAGGGGAGCGAACGGG